RNAcentral lists this ribosomal RNA (511 nucleotides) under uncultured eukaryote. RNAcentral describes it as "SSU rRNA". It matches the Rfam family "Eukaryotic small subunit ribosomal RNA", at positions 38 to 549 of the family's 1831-position model. The record is from RNAcentral.
CAAAGAUUUAACCAUAGCAUAGUCUAAGUAUAAACAAUUCUAUACUGUGAAACUGCGAAUGGCUCAUUAAAUCAGUUAUAGUUUAUUUGAUAAUAUCUACUACUCGGAUAACCGUGGUAAUUCUAGAGCUAAUACGUGCGUAAAAACCCGACUUACGAAGGGUUGUAUUUAUUAGAUACAAAACCAAUGCAGGGUAACUUGGUUUUUUGGUGAUUCAUAAUAACUUCUCGGAUCGCAUGGCUCACGCCGGCGACGUUUCAUUCAAAUUUCUGCCCUAUCAACUUUCGAUGGUAAGGUAUUGGCUUACCAUGGUUACAACGGGUAACGGAGAAUUAGGGUUCGAUUCCGGAGAGGGAGCCUGAGAAACGGCUACCACUUCCAAGGAAGGCAGCAGGUGCGCAAAUUACCCAAUCCUGACACAGGGAGGUAGUGACAAAAAAUAACAAUACAGGACUUUUAAAGCCUUGUAAUUGGAAUGAGUACAAUUUAAACCCCUUAACGAGUAACAAUU